This 253-nucleotide ribosomal RNA is filed under the name uncultured bacterium. Its description in RNAcentral is "partial 16S ribosomal RNA". It matches the Rfam family "Bacterial small subunit ribosomal RNA", at positions 524 to 776 of the family's 1533-position model. The record is from RNAcentral.
UACGUAGGGUGCGAGCGUUGUCCGGAAUUAUUGGGCGUAAAGCGCACGUAGGCGGCUUUGUAAGUUAGAGGUGAAAGCCCGGAGCUCAACUCCGGAACUGCCUUUAAGACUGCAUCGCUUGAACGUCGGAGAGGUAAGUGGAAUUCCGAGUGUAGAGGUGAAAUUCGUAGAUAUUCGGAAGAACACCAGUGGCGAAGGCGACUUACUGGACGACUGUUGACGCUGAGGUGCGAAAGCGUGGGGAGCAAACAGG